UUCUGGUGGACAGUGCCUCAGCCAAGCCAUGGCCACACGCCUCAGAUCGGCCGGCAGGAGCUGCACUGUCAUCGGGGGCUCGGGCUUCCUGGGCCAGCACAUGGUGGAGCAGCUGCUGGCCAAGGGCUACAGAGUCAACGUCUUCGACCUCCAGCAGAGCUUUGAGAGCCAGCAGGUGACCUUCUACCGGGGGGACCUGUGUGACAAGGAGGCUCUGCUGCCAGCCCUGCAGGGGGUGUCUGUGGUGUUCCACUGUGCCUCACCAGCCCCUUCCAGUGACAACAGGCAGCUGUUCUACAAAGUGAAUUUUCUGGGAACCAAGGCAGUGAUUGCAGCCUGCAGAGAAGCUGGAGUGCAGAAAUUGGUGCUAACCAGCAGUGCCAGUGUCGUUUUUGAGGGCACAGACAUCAAAAAUGGCUCAGAAGAUCUCCCCUAUGCACAAAAACCUAUUGAUUACUACACAGAGACCAAGAUCCUGCAGGAGAAGGAGGUGCUCAGUGCCAACGACCCAGACAACAAUUUCCUCACCACUGCCAUCCGUCCCCAUGGGAUUUUUGGUCCCAGAGACCCUCAGCUGGUUCCCAUCCUCAUCCAGGCAGCUCAGAGUGGCAAAAUGAAAUUCAUCAUUGGGGAUGGAAAGAACUUGGUGGAUUUUACCUACGUGGAGAACGUGGUGCAUGGGCACAUCCUGGCUGCAGAGAAGCUGCACAAAGACUCUCCCCUGUGUGGGAAGGCUUUCCACAUCACCAAUGAUGAGCCAAUUCCCUUCUGGACCUUCAUGUCCCGCAUCCUGACCGGCCUGGGCUACGACCCUCCCAAGUACCACAUCCCCUACUGGCUGGCCUAUUACCUGGCCCUGCUGCUGGCCCUGCUGCUGGCCCUGCUCAGGCCCCUGGUGGCCAUCAAGGCCACCUUCACACCCAUGAGGGUGGCCCUGGCUGGGACAUUCCACUACUACAGCUGCGAGAGGGCCAAGAGAGCCCUGGGCUACAGGCCUGUGGUCAGCCUGGACGAGGCCAUAGCCAGGACUGUGCAGAGCUACCCCAGCCUGAGGGCCUGAGAGCCCUGCCUGAGCCCCCCCUCCCUCAUCUCCACCACUCUGGCACCAAUUCCCAGCAACCUGGAGUUUUCCUGAGCUCUCUCCUCCUCCUCAUUCCCCCGUGUGGGAGUUGGUUUCUUGGAUGUGACUUGGUGUUUGGAAACAGCUGCUGAGCUCUCUGGGCUGGGAGUAAACACCCUGCUGUGCCCUCUUCCAUCCCAAGCAGGCACACCAGCAUUCCUGCUGCCUUCCCUCCACCCUUGGCCCGUGUUUUGUUGCUCUGGUGACAGCAGCCACCCCUUCCCAGAGCUGCAGGCUGCCUCACAAACCCUUCCCCUGCCUGCCUCCCCUCUGGGCUUUGGCUUUGCUCUCCACAGGAGAACCCUGUGCCAAAAAGGAGCUCUGCCACCAUCUCUUCCAUCAUUGCAGCUCUUCUGGUUUUCCCUCCAUGAUCAGGGUGUGAUCUGGCUUCUCCCUGAGGCAGCAGAAGGAAUAAGGAGUGUGCUUUGUCCAUGUGGGACUGGUUUCUGUCCCAGGGGUGACUUCCCAGCUCUGUGAAGGGCAGAUCCCACUCUCAGCACAAGCAGGAUGUUCAUGAUUCCCUUUUGGGGGCAGAGAUUUUUGGGAGCAGCCCCAGCAGUGUUUUAGCACAGCUCCCUUCCCACAAGAGCUGCAGUGCUGGGAGGAUCCUGCAGCACCAAGCUCCUCCCUGCCCUGUCCCAGGGAUUUUUUGGUGCUCUGAUCACUUAGUCCAUGAAAAAGCCUCUUUUCCACAAGGAAAUGGACACCAAGCAAUGGUCCCCCAGCUGUUCCCUGUGACUUGUAUAUUAGAUAUCCUCUGCCCCCUAAUCCUCCUAAGCUCUUCAGUUCUGGUUUGGUUUUAAAUGAGGGGUUUGGGUUGAAGCUGGAAUUUCCCCCUGUGCUCCCUGGGAGUUCUGGUGUUUGGAAUUUCAGAAGAAUUAUGGAAUCACAGGAUGGUUUGGGGUGGGAAGGACCUUAAAGCUCACCCCAUUCCACUCCCACUAUUCCAGCAGUUUGGGACAGUGGAUGGGCUUAAGGGUCCCUUCCCACCCAAACCAUUCAGGGAUUUUUAUGCUCCCAGUCUGGAUUUUGUGUGUGUCAGCAAGCAGAGGCUGUGAAGUGGAAUUGCUGUUAUCAGACCUCCAGGAUCCCAGGCAGGUGCAGCCUGUCCUUGUCAGGAACCCUCAACAGGAGCUCCCCACGACUUCAAAGAGUUCCCUGGAGCACUCUCAUCAAACUCCUUAUCUCCUCUCUCUGCUCUCCUGCCUUUUCCCUGCUGCAGUUCCUCAUUUUGCUGACCUGAGACUGGUUUUGGCAGUGGGAGAGAUGAAGGGAGAUCUUCUGUUGCUUAUCCUGGAGGAAGGAGAGGGAGGGAAGGCAGAGAGGAUUAAAAGUGGAGUUAAGUAAUUCUGCAAGGUGAGCAGUGGUGGUCAAAGAAACUUCCAAACUUCCCUGGGACAGCUCUUGGGACAAUUGGUCAUGGAACCGUCUGGUCAGGGCAGAUAAAAAACAGAACAAGUCUGAUCUUUAGCAGAUAGUUUGUGAUUGAUCACACAAAGGCAGGAAAUCUGAUUCUGCAAAAAAACCUUUCAGACUGUGGAAAACCCCUUUUUUUUCUUUUACAAACUGGUAUACAAUAUUCAAUAUACAACAUUCAUAACAGGGGGGUUUAAACAGAGUGGGUUUAAUAAUAUAUUUCCCUUUUUCUAGGUCCAUGUUCUUUUCUUAUUUUAAGUAUUCUGAUUUACACAAACUCCAAAACUUCUGUGAUUAACACGAGUCAUUUAUCAUUUAUCACAUCCAGAGCGGCUUUGGGGUGUCUCUGUGCCUCUGCUGUGCCCUGGCCGUGCUGACAACAACGUUUUGUGUCAGUGCUGAGCUGCAGGUGUGUCCCUGAGCAGGGGCAGCUCGCAGAAUUCCAGCAGGGAACGGCUGGGGAUAGACAGCGCUGCUAUUAGGGAGGUGAGGUCUGGCAGAGCUCUGCCGGUGACACCUCAUGAAAAACCAGUUGGGUUCCCUCGUAACUAAUGGGUGUAGUGGUUUUACACCCUGAGACUCAUCACAGCUCGGCUCUGGGGCUUGGUGGCAGCUCUGCAAAGGCCGCAGCGCUGCAGGGUUACUCACCUGCCCUCCCCCUGCAGCUCCUGGGAGGGGCGGAGCAGGAAAUGUCCCAGAGCAGCUCCCCGCUCUGCUGCUGCGCUUCUCACAGGCAGAAAACGCUGACAAGUGUCCCAGGAUGCUGCCCAAAAACACCGGCUGGGCUGGGAG
This is an RNA transcript of Ficedula albicollis (Collared flycatcher), 3328 nucleotides long. It is a transcript of the gene named NAD(P) dependent steroid dehydrogenase-like, with no coding region annotated. NCBI's taxonomy places the organism in Eukaryota, Metazoa, Chordata, Aves, Passeriformes, Muscicapidae. The transcript has 8 exons. The record is from RefSeq and is a predicted model, not a curated record.